UACGGGGGGGGCAAGCGUUGUUCGGAAUUACUGGGCGUAAAGGGUUCGUAGGUGGCCAACUAAGUCAUGCGUGAAAUCCCUCAGCUUAACUGGGGAACUGCGUUUGAUACUGGUUGGCUUGAGUGCAGGAGAGGAACGCGGAAUUCCAGGUGUAGCGGUGAAAUGCGUAGAUAUCUGGAGGAACACCGGUGGCGAAGGCGGCGUUCUGGACUGCAACUGACACUGAGGAACGAAAGCCAGGGGAGCAAACGGGAUUAGAAACCCCGGUAGUCC
This 273-nucleotide ribosomal RNA is filed under the name uncultured bacterium. RNAcentral describes it as "partial 16S ribosomal RNA". It matches the Rfam family "Bacterial small subunit ribosomal RNA", at positions 524 to 796 of the family's 1533-position model. The record is from RNAcentral.